RNAcentral lists this ribosomal RNA (1315 nucleotides) under Bacillus licheniformis. RNAcentral's name for it is "partial 16S ribosomal RNA". It matches the Rfam family "Bacterial small subunit ribosomal RNA", at positions 84 to 1406 of the family's 1533-position model. The record is from RNAcentral. Lineage: Bacteria; Bacillati; Bacillota; Bacilli; Caryophanales; Bacillaceae.
CCCUGAUGUCAGCGGCGGACGGGUGAGUAACACGUGGGUAACCUGCCUGUAAGACUGGGAUAACUCCGGGAAACCGGGGCUAAUACCGGAUGCUUGAUUGAACCGCAUGGUUCAAUUAUAAAAGGUGGCUUUUAGCUACCACUUACAGAUGGACCCGCGGCGCANUAGCUAGUUGGUGAGGUAACGGCUCACCAAGGCAACGAUGCGUAGCCGACCUGAGAGGGUGAUCGGCCACACUGGGACUGAGACACGGCCCAGACUCCUACGGGAGGCAGCAGUAGGGAAUCUUCCGCAAUGGACGAAAGUCUGACGGAGCAACGCCGCGUGAGUGAUGAAGGUUUUCGGAUCGUAAAACUCUGUUGUUAGGGAAGAACAAGUACCGUUCGAAUAGGGCGGUACCUUGACGGUACCUAACCAGAAAGCCACGGCUAACUACGUGCCAGCAGCCGCGGUAAUACGUAGGUGGCAAGCGUUGUCCGGAAUUAUUGGGCGUAAAGCGCGCGCAGGCGGUUUCUUAAGUCUGAUGUGAAAGCCCCCGGCUCAACCGGGGAGGGUCAUUGGAAACUGGGGAACUUGAGUGCAGAAGAGGAGAGUGGAAUUCCACGUGUAGCGGUGAAAUGCGUAGAGAUGUGGAGGAACACCAGUGGCGAAGGCGACUCUCUGGUCUGUAACUGACGCUGAGGCGCGAAAGCGUGGGGAGCGAACAGGAUUAGAUACCCUGGUAGUCCACGCCGUAAACGAUGAGUGCUAAGUGUUAGAGGGUUUCCGCCCUUUAGUGCUGCAGCAAACGCAUUAAGCACUCCGCCUGGGGAGUACGGUCGCAAGACUGAAACUCAAAGGAAUUGACGGGGGCCCGCACAAGCGGUGGAGCAUGUGGUUUAAUUCGAAGCAACGCGAAGAACCUUACCAGGUCUUGACAUCCUCUGACACCCUAGAGAUAGGGCUUCCCCUUCGGGGGCAAAAUGACAGGUGGUGCAUGGUUUCCUCAGCUCCUGUCCUGAAAAGUUGGGGUAAAUCCCCCAACAAGCGCAACCUUUGAUCUUAAUUGCCAGCAUUCAGUUGGGCACCCUAAGGGACUGCCGUGAAACCCAAGAAAAAAGGGGGGGGGAGAAUCAAAAAUAUAUUGCCCCUUUUUACUGGGGGUAACACCUGGUUAAAUGGGGGGAAAAAAAGGGGGCGAGCCCCCGAGGUAGCAAUCCCAAAUUUUUUCUUUUUUUGAUCAAUUCGCACCCCCCGCUGGACGGGGAAGCGAGAAAACGGAAACAACCCCCCGGGGAAAAUUUCCCGGCUUUGAACCCCCCCCCCCCAGUUGACC